CGGGACGGGUGAGUAACGCGUGGGUAACCUGCCCCAUACAGGGGGAUAACAGUUAGAAAUGACUGCUAAUACCGCAUAAGCGCACUGCAUCGCAUGAUGAAGUGUGAAAAACUGAGGUGGUAUGGGAUGGGCCCGCGUCUGAUUAGCCAGUUGGCGGGGUAACGGCCCACCAAAGCGACGAUCAGUAGCCGACCUGAGAGGGUGACCGGCCACAUUGGGACUGAGACACGGCCCAAACUCCUACGGAAGGCAGCAG
Molecule: ribosomal RNA, 256 nt
Filed under: uncultured bacterium
Lineage: Bacteria
Description: partial 16S ribosomal RNA
Rfam family: Bacterial small subunit ribosomal RNA
Source: RNAcentral